GCGACCCCAGGUCAGGCGGGACUACCCGCUGAAUUUAAGCAUAUAAAUAAGC
Molecule: ribosomal RNA, 52 nt
Filed under: Festuca muralis
Lineage: Eukaryota; Viridiplantae; Streptophyta; Magnoliopsida; Poales; Poaceae
Also listed under: 3 other names
Description: partial 26S ribosomal RNA
Source: RNAcentral